CACAAAAAUACAAAAUAUAAAACACAAAAAUACAAAAUAUAAAACACAAAAAUACAAAAUAUAAAACACAAAAAUACAAAAUAUAAAACACAAAAAUACAAAAUAUAAAACACAAAAAUACAAAAUAUAAAACACAAAAAUACAAAAUAUAAAACACAAAAAUACAAAAUAUAAAACACAAAAUGUAAAAUACAAAAGUGGUUUUAUGCUGUCGCCUCUGGGCUUCCGUA
Non-coding RNA from Paramuricea clavata, 230 nucleotides. The record is from the annotation of a GenBank genome assembly. NCBI's taxonomy places the organism in Eukaryota, Metazoa, Cnidaria, Anthozoa, Malacalcyonacea, Plexauridae.